GAUGAACGCUGGCGGUGUGCCUAAUACAUGCAAGUCGAGCGAACAGACGAGGAGCUUACUCCUCUGACGUUAGCGGCGGACGGGUGAGUAACACGUGGAUAACCUACCUAUAAGACUGGGAUAACUUCGGGAAACCGGAGCUAAUACCGGAUAACAUGUUGAACCGCAUGGUUCAACAGUGAAAGACGGUCUUGCUGUCACUUAUAGAUGGAUCCGCGUCGCAUUAGCUAGUUGGUAAGGUAACGGCUUACCAAGGCAACGAUGCGUAGCCGACCUGAGAGGGUGAUCGGCCACACUGGAACUGAGACACGGUCCAGACUCCUACGGGAGGCAGCAGUAGGGAAUCUUCCGCAAUGGGCGAAGGCCUGACGGAGCAACGCCGCGUGAGUGAAGAAGGUCUUCGGAUCGUAAAACUCUGUUAUUAGGGAAGAACAAAUGUGUAAGUAACUAUGCACGUCUUGACGGUACCUAAUCAGAAAGCCACGGCUAACUACGUG
Molecule: ribosomal RNA, 497 nt
Filed under: uncultured bacterium
Lineage: Bacteria
Description: partial 16S ribosomal RNA
Rfam family: Bacterial small subunit ribosomal RNA
Source: RNAcentral